This 106-nucleotide small nuclear RNA is filed under the name Carlito syrichta (Philippine tarsier). Lineage: Eukaryota; Metazoa; Chordata; Mammalia; Primates; Tarsiidae. The record is from RNAcentral.
GUGCUCGCUUCAGCAGCACAUAUACUAAAAUUGGAAAGAUAAAGAGAAGAUUAGCAUGGCCCUGCGCAAGGAUGACACGCAAAUUUAUGAAGUGUUCCAUAUUUAA